Molecule: ribosomal RNA, 290 nt
Filed under: uncultured Buttiauxella sp.
Lineage: Bacteria; Pseudomonadati; Pseudomonadota; Gammaproteobacteria; Enterobacterales; Enterobacteriaceae
Description: partial 16S ribosomal RNA
Rfam family: Bacterial small subunit ribosomal RNA
Source: RNAcentral
GUGCCAGCAGCUGCGGUAAUACGGAGGGUGCAAGCGUUAAUCGGAAUUACUGGGCGUAAAGCGCACGCAGGCGGUCUGACAAGUCGGAUGUGAAAUCCCCGGGCUCAACCCGGGAACUGCAUUCGAAACUGUCAGGCUGGAGUCUUGUAGAGGGGGUAGAAUUCCAGGCGUAGCGGUGAAAUGCGUAGAGAUCUGGAGGAAUACCGGUGGCGAAAGGCGGCCCCUGGACAAAGACUGACGCUCAGGUGCGAAAGCGUGGGAGCAAACAGGAUUAGAUACCCUGGUAGUCC